This 253-nucleotide ribosomal RNA is filed under the name uncultured bacterium. RNAcentral's name for it is "partial 16S ribosomal RNA". It matches the Rfam family "Bacterial small subunit ribosomal RNA", at positions 524 to 776 of the family's 1533-position model. The record is from RNAcentral.
GACAGAGGGUGCAAACGUUGUUCGGAAUUACUGGGCGUAAAGCGCGUGUAGGCGGCUAUGCAAGUCGGAUGUGAAAUCCCUCGGCUUAACCGGGGAACUGCGUCUGAUACUGGAUGGCUUGAGAUUGGGAGAGGGAUGCGGAAUUCCAGGUGUAGCGGUGAAAUGCGUAGAUAUCUGGUGGAACACCGGUGGCGAAGGCGGCAUCCUGGACCAACACUGACACUGAGGAGCGAAAGCCAGGGGAGCAAACGGG